AGAGCUCCUCUUCUGACUAAUAUUAUGGAUUGCAACAAUGAAGGAAAAUGAACAUCCACUGAUAUGUGCAUUAGCUUCAUAACAUCUCCUUCUCCUGGCCAAGCUGACGCUUCAGUCGGCUGUUACUGCUGCUAGACACAACAUGUUGUGGGUGUUCAUCAGAUGGAGAUGCAGAAUAGCAGAGGAAUAUUACGGCUCAGACCCUCGGGCUGACAGUUCAAGGACCACAUAAAAACGAAGCAAAUCAAAAUACUGAUAGAGAGACUAAUAAUUUGCAGAAGAAUCAAACUCCAUACCUCUUUUAUAAUUUAUAAUUUGAAUUGUACAACCUAAAAUUUGUAUAAGCCUAUGACACCAGGAACUCUUCAGUAUGACUACAAAUGAAAUGAGCAAAAGCAGCACAUGGAUGUUCAGGAAACUUAAGUCUUUGUCUUAAGAGGCCAUACAUAUUUUUCAUAUUUUCAGUGAUCUAUCCUCGACCAUGCAAUGAUGGAAUUAUAGAAUAAUCUAUUUUACGCAGCAAUGGUAUAUUAUCUUUAC
This 540-nucleotide long non-coding RNA is filed under the name Triticum aestivum (bread wheat). Its description in RNAcentral is "long non-coding RNA (TAES_LNC021066)". Lineage: Eukaryota; Viridiplantae; Streptophyta; Magnoliopsida; Poales; Poaceae. The record is from RNAcentral.